This is a long non-coding RNA of Bos taurus (domestic cattle), 695 nucleotides long. The record is from Ensembl. NCBI's taxonomy places the organism in Eukaryota, Metazoa, Chordata, Mammalia, Artiodactyla, Bovidae.
GAGCUAAACAGACCAUAAAGUGAGCCCCUCUUGUUCCUCUGAAGUCCCUCAGUCUAGGAACUAUCCUUUAUUAAACUUGGGCCUGAACUGCAGCUGCAGCAAAAUCAGGAGCCGUCCCCCAGGUACCAGGAGGCCCUGUGUUCCUGGAGGUUUUCCUCUUGCAGCUUCUUCAGGCCUGCUUGCAAACCUAAGAAACCUCAGAUGAGGAAGCAGCCUGCUAAUGACUUUCUUCCAGUCCACCUGCGCAGAUGCUCGGAAGGACCAGAAUAACCCAUCAGUGAACUUUGGAUGUCACAGGCUAAAAAUCCACAUGUAACGCACAGAACCCUCCUCAAUGCGUACUGUGUCCCAUGAAGAGAUAGGAAAAACAGUCAUGCCCGCACAGAGGACUCUUGAAACUUCCCUUUACUCGUCCAAGAGGCAGUGCUUAGCUCCGACUCCCUCCUAUUCCCUACUCUCACGAUAAAUACCCUGCUCAAAAAGCUGAUGGGAGAGACAGAGCUGAGCUUUGCGUCCUGUCUCCUUGCUUGGCCUCCCUGUAAUAAAGGCUUUCAUCUCUACAAAAGACUGUUGUUUUGGUGUUUGGUCUUUCUGUUACGAGCCCACUUCCUCAAUUACAAGUGGGCCAGUGGGCGUGUGAACCCUGAUUCCAGGCCUGACCCUUAGCUCUGGACAGAUGGGGGCCUCUUGUCAGC